Molecule: ribosomal RNA, 409 nt
Filed under: uncultured bacterium
Lineage: Bacteria
Description: bacterial SSU rRNA
Rfam family: Bacterial small subunit ribosomal RNA
Source: RNAcentral
GAGUAACACGUGGAUAACCUACCUCAAGGUUGGGAUAACAUUGGAAACAGAUGCUAAUACCGAAUAAAACUUCGUAUCGCAUGAUACAAGGUUAAAAGGCGCUACGGCGUCACCUAGAGAUGGAUCCGCGGUGCAUUAGUUAGUUGGUGGGGUAAAGGCCUACCAAGACAAUGAUGCAUAGCCGAGUUGAGAGACUGAUCGGCCACAUUGGGACUGAGACACGGCCCAAACUCCUACGGGAGGCUGCAGUAGGGAAUCUUCCACAAUGGGCGAAAGCCUGAUGGAGCAACGCCGCGUGUGUGAUGAAGGCUUUCGGGUCGUAAAGCACUGUUGUAUGGGAAGAACAGCUAGAGUAGGGAAUGACUUUAGUUUGACGGUACCAUACCAGAAAGGGACGGCUAAAUACGUG